This 1015-nucleotide unclassified non-coding RNA is filed under the name Hevea brasiliensis (rubber tree). The record is from RNAcentral. Lineage: Eukaryota; Viridiplantae; Streptophyta; Magnoliopsida; Malpighiales; Euphorbiaceae.
AAGCUAUACACAUUAGCUUCCAAUUACAGUUUUCACGCCUCCUCUCUUCAUUGGCCCAUCGCCGCCGUCGCCGUCCGAUCGACGGAGAUUUAUCCAACCUUAAGUUAUCCAAACGUAGAGUCAGUUGUUUUUUUUUGGUUGGGGUUUAGAUGGCGAAGAAGAGGAAGUCUUUGGCAUCAAGUAUCGAUGAGGUGGAUCGAACCAUGUACUCAACGUUUAGUAGCGCAGCGAAUUCGCUUUCACAGCUUUAUAGUCAGGCUUUGAAUCAACAGAAGCUUUCAUUUCAGGCCGGUGAACGACAUGGAUUGGAGAAAAUGUAUCAAUGGAUCUUGAGGCAACAAGAGGGAGGAUCCAGAGUAACAACUGCUGACAUGAUGAACUACCUGCAGUCGGAACUGGACUACAGUGGAGAGGACCAUUCAAUGUCGCCUAGACCACCGCAGAACCAACAUUCUCAACCAAUGCUUUUUGCAAAUUCAGGCUUCCCUGUCUCUUCAGGCUCAAUUGGUGUUGCAGCUCCAGGACAUGAUGUACGAUUACAUCAUGAUCCACAAUCAAAGAAUUAUGUUUUCUCAAAUGCUCUUUCAAGCCCUGUUCGGCAAAGCCUGCAGAAUUAUCAAGUUGCUCAAGGAGGUUACUUUUCAAACAAUGUUCAGCUAUCAAUUGGAGCAAGAAACAACGAAACCAACCUCCACCACCAAAAUGGGGAUUCCAAUAGCUAUAACUCAGCUGAUGCUGCCAUGGAUAUGCAUUCUGAUAGCCCUGGUCAUGAUUUUACUUGCUGAAGUAAUUUGUAUAUAGAAUGUUUUGGGAGCUGCUUCUUGUCAUGCCGUGGUAUUCAAGCAGCAAGUUCAGGUUGAUUGAUUGUCGUGUGUAGCAGCUGUUGUCAGGGAGAAAAUGCCGUUAUUGAAUUGGGUGUAUGAUUCAGAGAUUGAAAGGUGCGUUCGUGUUGGCUAGUAAAUCAUCAUUCUGUUGACAUGCUCUUAACGUAAAAUGCAACGUGAUGGGCACAAUA